This 109-nucleotide transfer RNA is filed under the name Pelodiscus sinensis (Chinese soft-shelled turtle). It matches the Rfam family "tRNA". Rfam says of the family: Transfer RNA (tRNA) molecules are approximately 80 nucleotides in length. Their secondary structure includes four short double-helical elements and three loops (D, anti-codon, and T loops). Lineage: Eukaryota; Metazoa; Chordata; Testudines; Trionychidae. The record is from Rfam by way of RNAcentral.
GUCAGGAUAGCUGAGUGGUCUGAAACACCAGACUCAAGCUACUGUCUUUCCCCUAGUGGGGUGUGCUGGUUUCUAAAUGGAAGCGUGGGUUAAAAUCCCACUCCUGGCA